UACGGGGGGGGCAAGCGUUGUUCGGAAUUACUGGGCGUAAAGGGCUCGUAGGCGGCCAACUAAGUCGGAUGUGAAAUCCCCAGGCUCAACUUGGGAACUGCAUCCGAUACUGGACGGCUUGAAUUCGGGAGAGGGAUGCAGAAUUCCAGGUGUAGCGGUGAAAUGCGUAGAUAUCUGGAGGAAUACCGGUGGCGAAGGCGGCAUCCUGGACCGACAUUGACGCUGAGGAGCGAAAGCUAGGGGAGCAAACGGG
RNAcentral lists this ribosomal RNA (253 nucleotides) under uncultured bacterium. RNAcentral's name for it is "partial 16S ribosomal RNA". It matches the Rfam family "Bacterial small subunit ribosomal RNA", at positions 524 to 776 of the family's 1533-position model. The record is from RNAcentral.